Molecule: ribosomal RNA, 545 nt
Filed under: Alkalibacillus almallahensis
Lineage: Bacteria; Bacillati; Bacillota; Bacilli; Caryophanales; Bacillaceae
Description: bacterial SSU rRNA
Rfam family: Bacterial small subunit ribosomal RNA
Source: RNAcentral
UUCGGGGUGGACGCUCGUGGAACGAGCGGCGGACGGGUGAGUAACACGUGGGCAACCUACCUGUGAGACGGGGAUAACUCCGGGAAACCGGGGCUAAUACCGGAUAACGCAUCGAACCGCAUGGUUCGAUGAUCAAAGAUGGCUUCUAGCUAUCACUCACAGAUGGGCCCGCGGCGCAUUAGUUAGUUGGUGAGGUAACGGCUCACCAAGGCGACGAUGCGUAGCCGACCUGAGAGGGUGAUCGGCCACACUGGGACUGAGACACGGCCCAGACUCCUACGGGAGGCAGCAGUAGGGAAUCAUCCGCAAUGGACGCAAGUCUGACGGUGCAACGCCGCGUGAGCGAUGAAGGUCUUCGGAUCGUAAAGCUCUGUUGUGAGGGAAGAACAAGUGCCGUUCGAAUAGGGCGGCACCUUGACGGUACCUCACCAGAAAGCCCCGGCUAACUACGUGCCAGCAGCCGCGGUAAUACGUAGGGGGCAAGCGUUGUCCGGAAUUAUUGGGCGUAAAGCGCGCGCAGGCGGUUCCUUAAGUCUGAUGUGAAA